RNAcentral lists this ribosomal RNA (498 nucleotides) under uncultured bacterium. RNAcentral's name for it is "partial 16S ribosomal RNA". It matches the Rfam family "Bacterial small subunit ribosomal RNA", at positions 28 to 507 of the family's 1533-position model. The record is from RNAcentral.
GACGAACGCUGGCGGCGUGCCUAAUACAUGCAAGUCGAGCGGACGGAUGGGAGCUUGCUCCCAGACCGUCAGCGGCGGACGGGUGAGUAACACGUGGGCAACCUGCCUGUAAGACUGGGAUAACUCCGGGAAACCGGGGCUAAUACCGGAUAACUCUUUCCCUCACAUGAGGGAAAGCUGAAAGAUGGCAUCUCGCUAUCACUUACAGAUGGGCCCGCGGCGCAUUAGCUAGUUGGUGAGGUAACGGCUCACCAAGGCGACGAUGCGUAGCCGACCUGAGAGGGUGAUCGGCCACACUGGGACUGAGACACGGCCCAGACUCCUACGGGAGGCAGCAGUAGGGAAUCUUCCGCAAUGGACGAAAGUCUGACGGAGCAACGCCGAGUGAGUGAUGAAGGUUUUCGGAUCGUAAAACUCUGUUGUCAGGGAAGAACAAGUACCGGAGUAACUGCCGGUACCUUGACGGUACCUGACCAGAAAGCCACGGCUAACUACGUG